Molecule: unclassified non-coding RNA, 325 nt
Filed under: soil metagenome
Description: partial contains 5.8S ribosomal RNA, internal transcribed spacer 2, and large subunit ribosomal RNA
Rfam family: 5.8S ribosomal RNA (bases 1-120)
Source: RNAcentral
GAUGAAGAACGCAGCGAAAUGCGAUAAGUAGUGUGAAUUGCAGAAUUCAGUGAAUCAUCGAAUCUUUGAACGCACAUUGCGCCCCUUGGUAUUCCAUGGGGCAUGCCUGUUCGAGCGUCAUUUGUACCUUCAAGCUUUGCUUGGUGUUGGGUGUUUGUCCUGAGGGACUCGCCUUAAAGUAAUUGGCAGCCAGUGUUUUGGUUUUGAAGCGCAGCACAAGUCGCGAUUCAAGGCUAUGCGCCAGCUUCCACAAGCCUUUUUUCACUUUUGACCUCGGAUCAGGUAGGGAUACCCGCUGAACUUAAGCAUAUCAAUAAGCGGAGGA